UCUAGACUCUCUGAAAUGCCAUUUCCCGGACUUUGGGGAGAGAUUUUACAGAAUUCUGAUGGUCAGAAAACGACAUUGUAACAUAUCAGAGGCCCUGGCCAAUGUAUUUGCUCUACAGCCUGAGCCUGGGGGCCCCCCAUUUGGCCCAUUGGGGUUGGGGGCCCCCGGGUUCUCCCGGUCUGAGCCCAUAGUAGUUACGCCACUGA
Paramuricea clavata is the source of this 206-nucleotide non-coding RNA. NCBI's taxonomy places the organism in Eukaryota, Metazoa, Cnidaria, Anthozoa, Malacalcyonacea, Plexauridae. The record is from the annotation of a GenBank genome assembly.